RNAcentral lists this ribosomal RNA (253 nucleotides) under uncultured bacterium. RNAcentral describes it as "partial 16S ribosomal RNA". It matches the Rfam family "Bacterial small subunit ribosomal RNA", at positions 524 to 776 of the family's 1533-position model. The record is from RNAcentral.
UACGAAGGGUGCAAGCGUUACUCGGAAUUACUGGGCGUAAGGCGUGCGUAGGUGGUGAGUUAAGUCUGUCGUGAAAGCCCCGGGCUCAACCUGGGAAUGGCGAUGGAUACUGGCUCGCUAGAGUGCGGUAGAGGAGAGUGGAAUUCCCGGCGUAGCAGUGAAAUGCGUAGAGAUCGGGAGGAACAUCAGUUGCGAAGGCGGCUCUCUGGACCAGCACUGACACUGAGGCACGAAAGCGUGGGGAGCAAACAGG